Molecule: long non-coding RNA, 187 nt
Organism: Arachis stenosperma
Lineage: Eukaryota; Viridiplantae; Streptophyta; Magnoliopsida; Fabales; Fabaceae
Exons: 3
Source: RefSeq, a predicted model, not a curated record
AUCAUGCUUAACUUGACUUGAGGGCCAAGAAACGUGAAUUUCCAGCAACUCUAAGGAGGAAAAAGUGCUUAAGGACCACCUGAAAGUUUAACUGAAUUAGGAGCAGCAAAACCAGAUGCAGGACGUGAGGUUUCCCGCUGAGGCAUGCUGGAGACUUCUAUAUUUGCCAAGAUCCUUUGUUCUCGGG